RNAcentral lists this ribosomal RNA (506 nucleotides) under uncultured Glomeromycotina. RNAcentral's name for it is "SSU rRNA". It matches the Rfam family "Eukaryotic small subunit ribosomal RNA", at positions 569 to 1077 of the family's 1831-position model. The record is from RNAcentral. Lineage: Eukaryota; Fungi; Glomeromycota.
AGCAGCCGCGGUAAUUCCAGCUCCAAUAGCGUAUAUUAAAGUUGUUGCAGUUAAAAAGCUCGUAGUUGAAUUUCGGGAUCAAAUUGUUGGUCGUGCUUCGGUACGCACUGGCAUUAUUGGUUCCUACCUUCUGAAGAACCGCGAUGUCAUUAAUUUGGUGUCGUGGGGAAUCAGGACUGUUACUUUGAAAAAAUUAGAGUGUUUAAAGCAGGCUUACGCUUGAAUACAUUAGCAUGGAAUAAUGAAAUAGGACGUUUGAUUCUAUUUUGUUGGUUUCUAGGAUUGACGUAAUGAUUAAUAGGGAUAGUUGGGGGCAUUAGUAUUCAAUUGUCAGAGGUGAAAUUCUUGGAUUUAUUGAAGACUAACUACUGCGAAAGCAUUUGCCAAGGAUGUUUUCAUUAAUCAAGAACGAAAGUUAGGGGAUCGAAGACGAUCAGAUACCGUCGUAGUCUUAACCAUAAACUAUGCCGACUAGGGAUCGGAUGAUGUUAAUUUUUUAAUGACUC